Long non-coding RNA from Neofelis nebulosa (Clouded leopard), 1270 nucleotides. RefSeq lists it as uncharacterized. NCBI's taxonomy places the organism in Eukaryota, Metazoa, Chordata, Mammalia, Carnivora, Felidae. The record is from RefSeq and is a predicted model, not a curated record. The transcript has 7 exons.
GUCAGGCGGACCAAUCGGCGCCCGCGCCUGGCGGAAGAGGCGGAGCGAGAAGCUCCUGCGACGACCACCAGGGCGCCUGCGCACAAAGCGUGACUGGCUUGUUAGCGAGUUCAAAAAGUUGGUGGGUCCGCGCUUGUAGUGGCGUCUUCUUUUGGUUCAGCUGAAGCGCAGGGCUCAUGAACAGUAAAAAUAUUUUUAGGAAAAAGUUAUCUAGGUAAAUGGACGUCACUCCCACGUACUGUAUCCCAUGUAACAGUAUUUAGGCAUUUAAUGACGUCGGCAGCCUCCCCCAGCUGGCUGUGACCACUUGGAGCGCAGGAGCUAAAUUUCAGCCCGGAGGACUCGCUUGCUUAGCGCAGCGUCUCGGAUAAAAUAAGUGAUUUAAGAGGAAGAGAGAAGCUUGUUAGGAGAGCAGUAGCAUAUGAGCGCCUAUGUCCCAGGGAUUGAGCCACACUCUACAAGGAUUCAUUUAAUCCCGACACAGCCUAAGAGUAUAAUGCCCUCAAGGCCCACCCAUUUGUCUCAGAUGGCAAGAUGUUAUACUUUUUUACAGAUAUCUUUGGAACCUUCGGGGGAAUCUCUGAUCUGCACCAGCGUCUGAUGUAUCUGAGGUCUGCGGUAUUCAACAAAGCUGCAGUUCUACAGGGACUCUGAAGACUGCUGGCUCUGCUUGGAGAAAUUACCAACACAAAUGAAAAUGUCCUCUCGUUACUGAAACCGAUAAAGAUUUUGACUUUGGCCUCAAGAGAACAAGCUGCUUUUUGCAAAUGACAGCCCUCCCCUCCGCGCAGGCAGGGAUUGCUGUACCCAGAGCGCGGGCUCCGUGCUGCCCGGAGGCGCGCGCGGGACGCCGGGCUCGAUCUGGCGGGCUGGCGAGGGCGGCAGGCCGCAGGGACGGGCUACGGGAAGCGGGACUCCACGGCUCAAGCGCGGCGCUCCGAGAAGCUGGUCGACGCCGCCGCGAGCCCAGGCGACCGCGGGAGUGAGGCGCGAGUUGUCUGCGUCUCUGGGUUGCGCUCAGACGUAAUGAAGUCCAUCCCCUUCCAUUUUCCCAUGAGGAAACUGAGGGCUUAUUUUACUACAGUACAAGAAGUCCAACGGAAGGGUCAGUCCAGCGUGCAUUCAGAGUUUAAGAAAACCAGACAUCAGUGUAAGUUGGAGGAACAGCUGUGUUCAGAAAUGGGUCUUUGCCUUUUCAUCCACAAUGGAUUGUUGACCAGAAAAUCAGAGGCCGGCGUUCAACUAAUAUGUUAUAAAGAGUUGUUAUACA